UCUGAAGAGCUAAAGACUUCCUGAAAUUUAAAAAUUAGUGCUUUUAUUUGCUUGUCCUGCUAAGACCGUAGGCAAAGGCCAUCCUCCUCCCAUUGACAGUUUAGAGUGGGCAGAAACAACCACGGUUACCCUAGAAGUAAAUCCAGAGCUGCGGGACGCUGGAGGACAAAACCAACCUUCCAGGGAAGCCGAGGAGAAGUCAUGCCUUCAAAAGAUGAAGGAACGAGGGCACAGAGAGAUUCGAGUUGUCACCCAAGCUCACAUAGCACCAGUGACAGAGGGGCUGGGAAGUUCAAGAUCCAGGCCUCAGAAGAUUUGGGGUUUGGUGAGGGCCAUCUUCUCACUGUAGCCUUACAUGGUGGAAGAGUUCAUGGACCAUUGUUGUUGCCUCUAAUAAGAGGCAUGUGUUUUCUCCAUCAGUUCAUGGAACCAUUGUUGUUGACUCUAAAAAGAAGAGAAAAGUGCUCAAGUAUCUUCACAGGAAGGCCAUUUAGAUGGUGGGUCUUUGAGUCAUGGAUCUCUCUUUAAAAAUUCUACCAAGAAACACAGACACCAAAUUUUGCAUGCAAUUUCAGGGACUUAUGGACCCCAGCUUGACUUGUCAGCCUCACAGGAAAACUAGUGGUGGGAUUUCAUUUCCAUUCUACCAAAUGAAUUUCAGUUGAUUAAAAAAUGACCAAUUGUUACACUCCAUAGAUCAGAAUCUAGCCUUUUAUACAUCUGUGAAUAUAAUCUUUUGCAGAGAUUAUUAGCCCUGUUGAAACUAAUUUUUUUUUUUUUUUUUUAGAUGGAGUCUCUGUCACCCAGGCUGGAAUGCAGUGGCUUAAUCUUGGCUCACUGCAAGCUCCACCUCCCGGGUUCACACCAUUCUCCUGCCUCAGCCUCCUGAGUAGCUAGGACUACAGGCGCCAGCCACCACGCCCAGCUAAUUUUUUUUUUUUUUUUGUACUUUUAGUAGAGACGGGGUUUUACCGUGUUAGCCAGGAUGGUCUCGAUCUCCUGAACUCGUGAUUCGCCCACCAUGGCCUCCCAAAGUGCUAGGACUACAGGCGUGAGCCACCAUACCCGGCCCUGAAACCAAUUUUAAAACACUGAAUCUCUAUCAAGCCCUCACAAUGUGCUUACCACGACUAAAUGUAUUUAUAUACAUCAUUUUAAUUCUUAAAGUCUGCAUAGAUGAAUGCACUAAAAUACUCAAGAGUAAGUAACUUUUCUAGAGUCACACAGUUUUUGAGUCACAAACUUCAAAGCCAGUAUCUAACCACCAUCUACUCCUUUGCUUUCCCACCCUAGAAGGAAAACUUUACUCUCCACCUACUAUGGUUACAAAUUUUGUAAGAUGUGUUUUCCCUGGUAGAAGAGGCUUCAAGUAACAAUCUACACCUAAUAAUAUCCAACAUUAAUUUUGAAAUUCUGACCAUUGAUCUUCAUGAAGUUCAAAAGGAAUUUACUUUUUCAGUUCUAAAAUUAACACGACCAAUUUAGUAAUUCAGAAGAUUAUUUUUGUCCAUUGUACUAGCUUAUGAUCUCCUUGAAAGCUGAAACUAUGAAUGCCUCACUUAUCCUGCUCACAUGUGGCACGCCUAGGCCUUAGGAAGAUGCCCAGUGUCAAAUACAGGAAUGUGUUUGCUCCUCUCAGUUCUCAAUGGCUUCCCAGAAGAUACCAUAGCUUCCCACAGAUGUAAACCAGGAGAAUCCUCUUGUAACAGCUUUAACAGGCCUGUUUCAUUUUAUUUCUACUGAGUAGCAUACAUCUAGCUCAUUUUAAAAUCCAGCUCUUGAUCUUUAGUUUUAAAAAUAUGUACCACUGGCUGGGCAUGGUGGCUCACGCCUGUAAUUCCAGCACUUUGGGAGGCAGAGGCAGGUGGAUCACCAGAGGUUGGGAAUUCGAAACCAGCCUAACCAACAUGGAGAAACCCCAUGUCUACUAAAAAUACAAAAUUAGCCAGAUGUGGUGGCGCAUGCCUGUAGUCCCAGCUAUUCAGGAGGCUGAGGCAGGAGAAUCGCUUGAACUCGGGAGG
This 2021-nucleotide long non-coding RNA is filed under the name Homo sapiens (human). Lineage: Eukaryota; Metazoa; Chordata; Mammalia; Primates; Hominidae. The record is from RNAcentral.